UACGAAGGGUGCAAGCGUUACUCGGAAUUACUGGGCGUAAAGCGUGCGUAGGUGGUUUGUUAAGUCUGUUGUGAAAGCCCCGGGCUCAACCUGGGAAUGGCAAUGGAUACUGGCAGGCUAGAGUGCGGUAGAGGGUAGUGGAAUUCCCGGUGUAGCGGUGAAAUGCGCAGAUAUCAGGAGGAACACCUGUGGCGAAAGCGGCUCACUGGACCACAACUGACGCUGAGGCGCGAAAGCUGGGGGGAGCAAACAGG
RNAcentral lists this ribosomal RNA (254 nucleotides) under uncultured bacterium. RNAcentral's name for it is "partial 16S ribosomal RNA". It matches the Rfam family "Bacterial small subunit ribosomal RNA", at positions 524 to 776 of the family's 1533-position model. The record is from RNAcentral.